AUGUCAUUUUUUACAAUUUUUGGAGAGCCAGCUCACUUUGUUGGAACUUGUCCAGUGCCAAAAAAAUGCUUCAUAUGCCACAAGGCUGGACACCAUAUGGAUAACUACUUGGAGUGGUGUAAACCUCAAGCCACUGCCCAAUACUAUGGCAGUGCCAAUGCUGGGCUGGGAUUCUUUCACAUAGAAUCUGAUGAUAAAGAGGUAGUUAAAUGGCUGAACAUGACCAAUGUGUGUGUUGCUGUGAUUGAGGAAGGUUCUAUCACCUCCCAAGAACUGAGAAACAACUUUUCUGAAAUAUGGAAGACCAAUUGGCCAUGGCAAGUGAGGCAGUUAACUGAGAAACAUUUCCUGGUUAGGUUUCCACCUCACAAAAAAUUAAAGGAUUUGGUUGAGCUCCCCUCCAUCAAUCUCAAAAAAGGGGGUAACUGUUUCUUUUGA
RNAcentral lists this ribosomal RNA (438 nucleotides) under Triticum aestivum (bread wheat). Its description in RNAcentral is "partial small subunit ribosomal RNA". Lineage: Eukaryota; Viridiplantae; Streptophyta; Magnoliopsida; Poales; Poaceae. The record is from RNAcentral.